Small nucleolar RNA from Jaculus jaculus (lesser Egyptian jerboa), 130 nucleotides. The record is from Ensembl. NCBI's taxonomy places the organism in Eukaryota, Metazoa, Chordata, Mammalia, Rodentia, Dipodidae.
CGUGAGACCGACCCUGCUGAGGCUUUUCCAGUAGCCAUGUGUCAUUGGAAAUGCCUCAUGCAGUAGUUCUGUGGUUUUCGUUAACUCACAGAACUUCCUUGGGCCUGUGGGAAGCAACUACAAAACAAUU